AUUGAACGCUGGCGGAAUGCUUUACACAUGCAAGUCGAACGGUAGAGGGGGCAACCCCUCGAGAGUGGCGAACGGGUGAGUAAUAUAUCGGAACGUGCCCAGUCGUGGGGGAUAACGUAGCGAAAGUUACGCUAAUACCGCAUACGAUCUAAGGAUGAAAGCGGGGGAUCGCAAGACCUCGCGCGCUUGGAGCGGCCGAUAUCAGAUUAGGUAGUUGGUGGGGUAAAGGCUCACCAAGCCAACGAUCUGUAGCUGGUCUGUGAGGACGACCAGCCACACUGGAACUGAGACACGGUCCAGACUCCUACGGGAGGCAGCAGUGGGGAAUUUUGGACAAUGGACGCAAGUCUGAUCCAGCCAUUCCGCGUGCAGGAUGAAGGCCCUCGGGUUGUAAACUGCUUUUGUACGGAACGAAAAGGUCUCUCUUAAUACGGGGGACUCAUGACGGUACCGUAAGAAUAAGCACCGGCUAACUACGUGCCAGCAGCCGCGGUAA
RNAcentral lists this ribosomal RNA (496 nucleotides) under uncultured bacterium. RNAcentral's name for it is "partial 16S ribosomal RNA". It matches the Rfam family "Bacterial small subunit ribosomal RNA", at positions 30 to 523 of the family's 1533-position model. The record is from RNAcentral.